GGUUCUUUUCGCUGAUUACGCUGAGGCACACUUGAAGCUUUCUGAGCUCGGGUUUGCUGAUGCUUAAGCUGUGACAUGUGUGUCGUGGGAGAGUUUGCAUUGCAUUUGAACUUUUGUCAUUUGUUUGCUUAAUGUACUCGUGGUUUUGUGUUCUUUUAGGCGGUGUUGUGAUUUUGACGCACAUCUGUUGCGCUUUUGCUGGUUAAAACAUUCUAAUAAACCAAUUUCUCUCAUAAA
This is a long non-coding RNA of Brassica oleracea var. oleracea, 237 nucleotides long. RefSeq lists it as uncharacterized. Lineage: Eukaryota; Viridiplantae; Streptophyta; Magnoliopsida; Brassicales; Brassicaceae. The transcript is spliced from 2 exons. The record is from RefSeq and is a predicted model, not a curated record.